This 253-nucleotide ribosomal RNA is filed under the name uncultured prokaryote. RNAcentral's name for it is "partial 16S ribosomal RNA". It matches the Rfam family "Bacterial small subunit ribosomal RNA", at positions 524 to 776 of the family's 1533-position model. The record is from RNAcentral.
UACAGAGGUCUCAAGCGUUGUUCGGAUUCAUUGGGCGUAAAGGGCGCGUAGGCGGCGAGGUAAGUCGGGUGUGAAAUCUCAGAGCUCAACUCUGAAACUGCACUCGAUACUGCUUUGCUAGAGGACUGGAGAGGUGAGUGGAACUGCGAGUGUAGAGGUGAAAUUCGUAGAUAUUCGCAAGAACACCAGUGGCGAAGGCGGCUCACUGGCCCGGUACUGACGCUGAGGUGCGAAAGCGUGGGGAGCAAACAGG